Molecule: ribosomal RNA, 521 nt
Filed under: uncultured bacterium
Lineage: Bacteria
Description: bacterial SSU rRNA
Rfam family: Bacterial small subunit ribosomal RNA
Source: RNAcentral
UACGGAGGAUGCAAGCGUUAUCCGGAUUUAUUGGGUUUAAAGGGUGUGUAGGCGGGAAAUUAAGUCAGUGAUGAAAUCCUACAGCUUAACUGUAGAACUGUUAUUGAUACUGGUUUUCUUGAAUACAGUUGAGGCAGGCGGAAUGUGUAAUGUAGCGGUGAAAUGCUUAGAUAUUACACAGAACACCGAUUGCGAAGGCAGCUUGCUAAACUGUCAUUGACGCUGAGGCACGAAAGCGUGGGGAUCAAACAGGAUUAGAUACCCUGGUAGUCCACGCUGUAAACUAUGAUCACUCGCUGUUGGCGACACACAGUCAGCGGCCGAGCGAAAGCAUUAAGUGAUCCACCUGGGGAGUACGAUCGCAAGAUUGAAACUCAAAGGAAUUGACGGGGGCCCGCACAAGCGGAGGAACAUGUGGUUUAAUUCGAUGAUACGCGAGGAACCUUACCUGGGCUUGAAUGCAGGUUGACAGACUGGGAAACUGGUUCUUCUUCGGACAACUUGCAAGGUGCUGCAUGGUU